RNAcentral lists this ribosomal RNA (374 nucleotides) under uncultured Glomus. Its description in RNAcentral is "LSU rRNA". RNAcentral also lists the same sequence under 1 other name. Lineage: Eukaryota; Fungi; Glomeromycota; Glomeromycetes; Glomerales; Glomeraceae. The record is from RNAcentral.
UUGAAAGGGAAACGAUUGAAGUCUGUCGUACCGGCGGAUAAUCAGCCUUUCGAGUAUGAUUCUGUGGAGUGUGAGGAGUUUAACCGCCUUUAUACCUGCAUAUUUGUGCGCUUUGGGUGUACUUGUCCGUAUGGUAGGUUAACAUCAAUUUUGGUCGUUAUAAAAUGGCUAGGGGAAUGUAGCUUUAAUCUCGUAUUGAAGUGUUAUAGCCUCUGGUAAAUGUAGUGACUAGGAUUGAGGAUUGCAACGGAUACCUUUCGGGGCUACUCGUCUGAUCUCUGGAAGUUACUUUGGUGCUAAAAGCUUGCUUAUGGUUAUCGAAGUUGACGGUCAAUAGGUUAGAACGAGUUAAAUUCGUUAAGGAUGUUGACGUA